This 23-nucleotide non-coding RNA is filed under the name Arabidopsis thaliana (thale cress). The record is from RNAcentral. Lineage: Eukaryota; Viridiplantae; Streptophyta; Magnoliopsida; Brassicales; Brassicaceae.
AGUUUUGUUGAUGCCAAACUGCA